This 435-nucleotide ribosomal RNA is filed under the name uncultured bacterium. Its description in RNAcentral is "partial 16S ribosomal RNA". It matches the Rfam family "Bacterial small subunit ribosomal RNA", at positions 28 to 507 of the family's 1533-position model. The record is from RNAcentral.
GAUGAACGCUGGCGGUAUGCUUAACACAUGCAAGUCGAACGGACUCUUCGGAGUUAGUGGCGGACGGGUGAGUAACGCGUGAGAAUCUGGCUUUGGGUUCGGGACAACCACUGGAAACGGUGGCUAAUACCGGAUGUGCCGAGAGGUAAAAGAGAAAUUGCCUGAAGAUGAGCUCGCGUCUGAUUAGCUAGUUGGUGAGGUAAAGGCUCACCAAGGCAGCGAUCAGUAGCUGGUCUGAGAGGAUGACCAGCCACACUGGGACUGAGACACGGCCCAGACUCCUACGGGAGGCAGCAGUGGGGAAUUUUCCGCAAUGGGCGAAAGCCUGACGUAGCAAUACCGCGUGAGGGAAGAAGGCUCUUGGGUUGUAAACCUCUUUUCUUAGGGAAGAACAAAAUGACGGUACCUAAGGAAUCAGCAUCGGCUAACUCCGUG